RNAcentral lists this long non-coding RNA (2889 nucleotides) under Sus scrofa (pig). RNAcentral's name for it is "lncRNA (ENSSSCG00040017425.1)". The record is from RNAcentral. Lineage: Eukaryota; Metazoa; Chordata; Mammalia; Artiodactyla; Suidae.
GGGGUGGAGGAAGGGUGGAGAUUAGUAGGGAAAAAAGUGUCACUAACUGGUGCCUCUUUAAAUGAACCCAAAUCCUCAUGGAUCCUAAUCGGGUUUUUUAAACCUCUGAGCCACGAAGGGAACUCCUGUGUUUUCUUUAUCUUGGUAAACUUCCUUGGUGAGUGAUCAAUGAUUUUAGACUAUUUUGUUGAGCACUUGGCAAAUACAUCACUAAUCUUUUUCAUAUUAACGUUAAAAUCUAGUUUAACCGGUUAGCUUUAUAUUCCGUUUUCUUCCUUUGUCUGUGAUGGGUGCAGUAGUGAGCGGUGACGUGAUAUCAAGACGUUUCCCUCAGGUCCCUCCUAACUGUCCUCUUCACGUGAUGAGCGAUGGGCUGGAUGGACCGGAACCUUCUGCUCAUCAUGAAGAAAUUUGCCCAGAGCUUAUUUCUUUUUUUUUCUUUCCUUUCUUUCUUUUUCCUAUUUCUUGGGCUGCUGCCAAGGCAUAUGGAGGUUCCCAGGAUAGGGGUCUAAUCGGAGCUGUAGCCACCGGCCUACGCCAGAGCCACAGCAACUCGGGGAUCCGAGCCACAUCUGCAACCUACACCACGGCUCACGGCAACGCUGGAUCCUUAACCCACUGAGCCAGGGCAGGGGUCAAACCCACAACCUCAUGGUUCCUAGUCGGAUUCGUUAACCACUGCGCCAUGACGGGAACUCCUCUUUUCUUUCUUUUUUUUUUUGCAUUUUAGGGCUGCGAGGCAGCAUAUGGAAGGUCCCAGGCUAGGGGUCAAAUGAGAGCUGCAGCUCUUGCCCUACACCACAGCCACAGCAGGGAGGGAUCCAAGCUGUGUCUGCACUUACACCAGUUAGAGCUUAUUUCUAAGCUGACUCCUUACAGUGUUUCCUGCACCCGUGGAUAUAAUGUUGCAAUUCUGUAUUUUGAUUUUUUAAAAUUUUAUUUAUUUAUUUAUUUAUUUAUUUUUGUCUUUUUUUGCACCACACCUUUGGCAUAUGGAAGUUCCCAGGAUAGGGGUCAAGUUGGAACUGCAGCCCCCGGCCUACACCAUAGCCGCAGCAAGGGAUCUGAGCCACAUCUGUGGCCUCAUAACAGCUCACGGCAAUGCCAGAUCCUUAACCUACUGAGCAAGGCCAGGAAUGGAACCUGCAUCCUCAUGACUACUAUCGGGUUCCUUAAGGCUAAACCACGAUGGGAACGCCAGACAGAUCCCAUUAGAGAAUUCAGGCACACCUGAUUUCUGUUCCCCCUUCGCAAACUGCCUCAUGAAUGUCUCCCAUGUGGGCCACAGGGAGCCCCCUUGUAACAUGGAGAUGAGAGGACAGAGCAGCAACGCCUUCUGAGCAGCACUGACCCCUGAAAGGAUUGGCCUAAUUGGGUGUGUGUUUGUUUGGGGCACUUCUCUUUGGAGUUAGAGUUUUAAAGGGGUCCUCGUCCUCCCAGCAGGAAGGAGAAGAGCAGAAAGGCUGCCGUGGAGGCAGGACUAUAGGCUCGGAGUAAGAGAGACCAGAACGAGUGUCUCCUGCAAACCCGAAGGGAGUCGACGUGUUUCCUGAUGCCCAGACCUCCGCAGGCUCUUCUUGGGCCUCAGGACAGACCCCGACUCCUCCCUGUGGUGGCACAGCCCUGUGUCGCCCUCAGGGCCCUGCCUGUGUCUGCAGCCCCGUCCUGGGAGCAGACCCAGUGCUGCGGGUUCACUGCCCGGGGCACAGUCUCCUUGUCUGUCUCAGCUCUUCGUUCCUCUUCUUCCCCUUUGCCUUUCAGGCACCAGGGCUCAGGCCCUUUGUCGCCCUUCAGAUCUCGGCUCAGAGAGGUCCCCUGUCCUCCUGACAGUCUCUGCUGCCACCUUCAGUGUGUUUGAUGGCCAGUAUAUCAACCCCUGUCAUCAGAAAUUCCUGUCUCUGUGGAUUAUUGACUCUUUUCCGUCUGUUCUGUUGUCCCUCCAUUGAAGGGAGCCCAGUGUCCCUGCUCCUCCCAGGGGGGCUGCAGCAUCUCCCUCUGGGGAUGCAUUUAUCUUUAUUUAUUUACUUUUUUUGAAUAAUUUCACGGUUGAGGGGAAUUUUGUUGUUGUUGUUGUUUUUGUCUUUUUGCCUUUUCUAGGGCCGCCUCCCGAGCAUAUGGAGGUUCCCAGGCUAGGGGUCUAAUUGGAGCUGUAGCCAUCGGCCUACACCACAGCCACAGCAACGUGGGAUCCCAGCUGUGUCUGCAACCUACACCACAGCUCACGGCAACGCCAGAUCCUUAGCCCACUGAGCAAGGCAGGGAACGAACCCGCAUCCUCAGUGGAUUCGUUAACCACUGAGCCACGACGGGAACUCCGAGGGGAAGGUAUUUUUAUCUUUUAGGUUUUUAUGGCUGAACUUGUGCUAUAUGGAGGUGCCCAGGCUAGGGAUGGAAUCUGAGCUACAGCUGCCAGCCUACAUCUCAGCCACUGUGACACCAGAUCCGAGCCUCAUCUGCGACAUACACCAUAGCUCUCACCAACGCCAGAUCUCCAACCCACCAAGCAAGGCCGGGGAACGAACCCGUGUCCUCAUGGAUACCAGUCCGGAUCAUUACCACUGAGCUGCAAUGGAAGCUCCUGGGGAUGUGCUUAAAUUCUGGGGCUGUGGUGGGGCUGAGUCAUCCUCCUAGAAGAGCAAGGAAGGAGGACAAGCAAGGAGGAUCAUUCCCAUGUUUGAUCUAAUUGGAUUUUUUGUCUUUUUAGGGCCUCACCUGCAGUAUAUGGUGGUUCUCGGGCUAGGGGUCCAAUCGAAGCCGUAGCUGCCAGCCUACGCCAGAGCCACAGCACCUCCAGAUCCGAGCCGCGUCUGUGACCUCCGCCAUAGCUCAUGGCAACGCCUGAUCCUUAACCUACUGAGUGAGGCCAGGGAUCGAUCCUGUGUCCUCGUG